RNAcentral lists this ribosomal RNA (497 nucleotides) under uncultured bacterium. RNAcentral's name for it is "partial 16S ribosomal RNA". It matches the Rfam family "Bacterial small subunit ribosomal RNA", at positions 28 to 507 of the family's 1533-position model. The record is from RNAcentral.
GAUGAACGCUGGCGGCGUGCCUAAUACAUGCAAGUCGAGCGAACAGAUGAGGAGCUUGCUCCUCUGACGUUAGCGGCGGACGGGUGAGUAACACGUGGAUAACCUACCUAUAAGACUGGGAUAACUUCGGGAAACCGGAGCUAAUACCGGAUAAUAUAUUGAACCGCAUGGUUCAAUAGUGAAAGACGGUUUUGCUGUCACUUAUAGAUGGAUCCGCGCCGCAUUAGCUAGUUGGUAAGGUAACGGCUUACCAAGGCAACGAUGCGUAGCCGACCUGAGAGGGUGAUCGGCCACACUGGAACUGGGACACGGUCAAGACUCCUACGGGAGGCAGCAGUAGGGAAUCUUCCGCAAUGGGCGAAAGCCUGACGGAGCAACGCCGCGUGAGUGAUGAAGGUCUUCGGAUCGUAAAACUCUGUUAUUAGGGAAGAACAAAUGUGUAAGUAACUAUGCACGUCUUGACGGUACCUAAUCAGAAAGCCACGGCUAACUACGUG